RNAcentral lists this ribosomal RNA (253 nucleotides) under uncultured bacterium. RNAcentral describes it as "partial 16S ribosomal RNA". It matches the Rfam family "Bacterial small subunit ribosomal RNA", at positions 524 to 776 of the family's 1533-position model. The record is from RNAcentral.
UACGUAGGGUGCGAGCGUUGUCCGGAAUUAUUGGGCGUAAAGGGCUCGUAGGCGGUUUGUCGCGUCGGGAGUGAAAACCAUGGGCUUAACUCAUGGCUUGCUUUCGAUACGGGCAGACUAGAGGUAUGCAGGGGAGAACGGAAUUCCUGGUGUAGCGGUGAAAUGCGCAGAUAUCAGGAGGAACACCGGUGGCGAAGGCGGUUCUCUGGGCAUGAUCUGACGCUGAGGAGCGAAAGCGUGGGGAGCGAACAGG